AGAGGGUAAGCCCUGUGGCAGAGCACAUGCUUAGCAUGCAUGAGGUCCUGGGUUCAAUCCUCAGAACCUCCA
This 72-nucleotide transfer RNA is filed under the name Camelus bactrianus (Bactrian camel). It matches the Rfam family "tRNA". Rfam says of the family: Transfer RNA (tRNA) molecules are approximately 80 nucleotides in length. The record is from Rfam by way of RNAcentral. RNAcentral also lists the same sequence under 2 other names. Lineage: Eukaryota; Metazoa; Chordata; Mammalia; Artiodactyla; Camelidae.